RNAcentral lists this ribosomal RNA (253 nucleotides) under uncultured bacterium. RNAcentral describes it as "partial 16S ribosomal RNA". It matches the Rfam family "Bacterial small subunit ribosomal RNA", at positions 524 to 776 of the family's 1533-position model. The record is from RNAcentral.
UACGGGGGGGGUAAGCGUUGUUCGGAAUUACUGGGCGUAAAGGGCUCGUAGGCGGCCAACUAAGUCAUACGUGAAAUCCCUCAGCUUAACUGGGGAACUGCGUGUGAUACUGGAUGGCUUGGAUUUGGGAGAGGGAUGCGGAAUUCCAGGUGUAGCGGUGAAAUGCGUAGAUAUCAGGAAGAACACCAAUGGCGAAAGCAGCUCUCUGGGACGGUACUGACGCUGAGACGCGAAAGCGUGGGGAGCGAACAGG